CUACGGGCCGCUGCAGUCAAGAAUCUUCCGCAAUGCACGAAAGUGUGACGGAGCGACGCCGCGUGCAGGACGAAGGCCUUCGGGUCGUAAACUGCUUUUAUUAGGGACGAACAAAUGACGGUACCUAAAGAAUAAGGGGUUGCUAACUCUGUGCCAGCAGCAGCGGUAAUACAGAGACCUCAAACGUUGUCCGGAUUUAUUGGGCGUAAAGGGUCCGCAGGCGGUUUUAUAAGUCAUAUGUCAAAUCUUCAGGCUCAACCUGGAGGCUGCGUGUGAUACUGUAAGACUAGAGGAUGGGAGAGGUGCACGGAAUUGCUGGUGUAGCGGUAAAAUGCGUUAAUAUCAGCAAGAACACCAAAGGCGAAGGCAGUGCACUGGAACAUUCCUGACGCUCAGGGACGAAAGCGUGGGUAGCGAAUGGGAUUAGAUACCCCGGUAGUC
RNAcentral lists this ribosomal RNA (441 nucleotides) under uncultured bacterium. RNAcentral's name for it is "partial 16S ribosomal RNA". It matches the Rfam family "Bacterial small subunit ribosomal RNA", at positions 339 to 795 of the family's 1533-position model. The record is from RNAcentral.